This 922-nucleotide ribosomal RNA is filed under the name Ophiocordyceps nutans. RNAcentral's name for it is "LSU rRNA". It matches the Rfam family "Eukaryotic large subunit ribosomal RNA", at positions 40 to 962 of the family's 3401-position model. Lineage: Eukaryota; Fungi; Ascomycota; Sordariomycetes; Hypocreales; Ophiocordycipitaceae. The record is from RNAcentral.
AUAUCAAUAAGCGGAGGAAAAGAAACCAACAGGGAUUGCCUUAGUAACGGCGAGUGAAGCGGCAAUAGCUCAAAUUUGAAAUCUGGCUUUUGUAAAUAAAAGUCCGAGUUGUAAUUUGCAGAGGAUGCUUUUGGCAAGGCACUGUCUAAGUUCCCUGGAAUGGGACGCCACAGAGGGUAAGAGCCCCGUCUAGUUAGAUGCCGAAGCCUUUUUAAAGCUCCUUCAACGAGUCGAGUAGUUUGGGAAUGCUGCUCAAAGUAGGAGGUAUAUGUCUUCUAAAGCUAAAUAUUAGCUAGAGACCGAUAGCGCACAAGUAGAGUGAUCGAAAGAUGAAAAGCACUUUGAAAAGAGGGUUAAACAGUACGUGAAAUUGCUAAAAGGGAAGCACUUGCAACUAGACAUAGAUAUUUUCAAUCAAUUAGUGAUUUUCACUAAUGUGCUUGGAAUUAUCUAGGCUAGCAUCGGUUUACUGUAGAGAAAAAAGAUAUCUAGAACGUGGCCCUCUUCGGAGGGUGUUAUAGCUAGAUGUGUAAUGCUUUACUUAGUAGACCGAGGUGUUAUUGCGCAUUCUUGCAAGGAUGCUGGCGUAAUAGUUGCUAGUGACCCGUCUUGAAACACGGACCAAGGAGUCGUCUUCGUAUGCGAGUGUUUGGGUAUAAAACCCUUGCGCGAAAUGAAAGUAAACGUAGGUAAGAACCUCUUUAAAAAAGAGGCACAUUACCGACCGAUCUUGAUGUUCUCGGAUGGAUUUGAGUAAGAGCAUACGGGGCCGGACCCGAAAGAAGGUGAACUAUGCCUGCGUAGGGUGAAGCCAGAGGAAACUCUGGUGGAGGCUCGCAGCGGUUCUGACGUGCAAAUCGAUCGUCAAACGUGGGCAUGGGGGCGAAAGACUAAUCGAACCUUCUAGUAGCUGGUUUCCGCC